CCACCACUAAGCCAGUGGUGAACUCCACAUACGCAUCCUUUGCUGAGGAUACGGUUAACGGAGCGAAAGCGACGUUCAACCUCAAAAGAAGCAGAGGGGGCUUAGUGGUGGGGUGACUGCGUACCUUUUGUAUAAUGGGUCAGCGACUUAUAUUCUGUAGCAAGGUUAACCGUAUAGGGGAGCCGCAGGGAAACCGAGUCUUAACCGGGCGUUAAGUUGCAGGGUAUAGACCCGAAACCCGGUGAUCUAGCCAUGGGCAGGUUGAAGGUUGGGUAACACUAACUGGAGGACCGAACCGACUAAUGUUGAAAAAUUAGCGGAUGACCUGUGGCUGGGGGUGAAAGGCCAAUCAAACCGGGAGAUAGCUGGUUCUCCCCGAAAGCUAUUUAGGUAGCGCCUCGUGAACUCAUCUCCGGGGGUAGAGCACUGUUUCGGCUAGGGGGCCAUCCCGGCUUACCAACCCGAUGCAAACUGCGAAUACCGGAGAAUGUUAUCACGGGAGACACACGGCGGGUGCUAACGUCCGUCGUGAAGAGGGAAACAACCCAGACCGCCAGCUAAGGUCCCAAAGUCAUGGUUAAGUGGGAAACGAUGUGGGAAGGCCCAGACAGCCAGGAUGUUGGCUUAGAAGCAGCCAUCAUUUAAAGAAAGCGUAAUAGCUCACUGGUCGAGUCGGCCUGCGCGGAAGAUGUAACGGGGCUAAACCAUGCACCGAAGCUGCGGCAGCGACACUAUGUGUUGUUGGGUAGGGGAGCGUUCUGUAAGCCUGUGAAGGUGGCCUGUGAGGGUUGCUGGAGGUAUCAGAAGUGCGAAUGCUGACAUAAGUAACGAUAAAGCGGGUGAAAAGCCCGCUCGCCGGAAGACCAAGGGUUCCUGUCCAACGUUAAUCGGGGCAGGGUGAGUCGACCCCUAAGGCGAGGCCGAAAGGCGUAGUCGAUGGGAAACGGGUUAAUAUUCCCGUACUUGGUGUUACUGCGAAGGGGGGACGGAGAAGGCUAUGUUGGCCGGGCGACGGUUGUCCCGGUUUAAGCGUGUAGGCUGGUUUUCCAGGCAAAUCCGGAAAAUCAAGGCUGAGGCGUGAUGACGAGGCACUACGGUGCUGAAGCAACAAAUGCCCUGCUUCCAGGAAAAGCCUCUAAGCAUCAGGUAACAUCAAAUCGUACCCCAAACCGACACAGGUGGUCAGGUAGAGAAUACCAAGGCGCUUGAGAGAACUCGGGUGAAGGAACUAGGCAAAAUGGUGCCGUAACUUCGGGAGAAGGCACGCUGACAUGUAGGUGAAGUGAUUUACUCAUGGAGCUGAAGUCAGUCGAAGAUACCAGCUGGCUGCAACUGUUUAUUAAAAACACAGCACUGUGCAAACACGAAAGUGGACGUAUACGGUGUGACGCCUGCCCGGUGCCGGAAGGUUAAUUGAUGGGGUCAGCGCAAGCGAAGCUCCUGAUCGAAGCCCCGGUAAACGGCGGCCGUAACUAUAACGGUCCUAAGGUAGCGAAAUUCCUUGUCGGGUAAGUUCCGACCUGCACGAAUGGCGUAAUGAUGGCCAGGCUGUCUCCACCCGAGACUCAGUGAAAUUGAACUCGCUGUGAAGAUGCAGUGUACCCGCGGCAAGACGGAAAGACCCCGUGAACCUUUACUAUAGCUUGACACUGAACAUUGAGCCUUGAUGUGUAGGAUAGGUGGGAGGCUUUGAAGUGUGGACGCCAGUCUGCAUGGAGCCGACCUUGAAAUACCACCCUUUAAUGUUU
Molecule: ribosomal RNA, 1748 nt
Filed under: Salmonella enterica subsp. enterica serovar Poona
Lineage: Bacteria; Pseudomonadati; Pseudomonadota; Gammaproteobacteria; Enterobacterales; Enterobacteriaceae
Description: partial 23S ribosomal RNA
Rfam family: Bacterial large subunit ribosomal RNA
Source: RNAcentral